RNAcentral lists this ribosomal RNA (443 nucleotides) under uncultured bacterium. RNAcentral's name for it is "partial 16S ribosomal RNA". It matches the Rfam family "Bacterial small subunit ribosomal RNA", at positions 338 to 795 of the family's 1533-position model. The record is from RNAcentral.
CCUACGGGGGGCAGCAGUGGGGAAUAUUGGACAAUGGGGGGAACCCUGAUCCAGCGACGCCGCGUGAGUGAAGAAGUAUUUAGGUAUGUAAAGCUCUAUCAGCAGGGAAGCAAGAAAUGACGGUACCUGACUAAGAAGCCCCGGCUAACUACGUGCCAGCAGCCGCGGUAAUACGUAGGGGGCAAGCGUUAUCCGGAUUUACUGGGGGUAAAGGGAGCGUAGACGGCGAUGCAAGUCUGAAGUGAAAGGCGGGGGGCCAACCUCCGGACUGCUUUGGAAACUGUAUGGCUGGAGUGCAGGAGAGGUAAGUGGAAUUCCUAGUGUAGCGGGGAAAUGCGUAGAUAUUAGGAGGAACACCAGUGGCGAAGGCGGCUUACUGGACUGUAACUGACGUUGAGGCUCGAAAGCGUGGGGAGCAAACAGGAUUAGAUACCCUGGUAGUC